This 514-nucleotide ribosomal RNA is filed under the name uncultured bacterium. Its description in RNAcentral is "partial 16S ribosomal RNA". It matches the Rfam family "Bacterial small subunit ribosomal RNA", at positions 28 to 523 of the family's 1533-position model. The record is from RNAcentral.
GACGAACGCUGGCGGCGUGCUUAACACUUGCAAGUCGAACGGUAAGGCCCUUCGGGGGGACGACGGUGGGAUGAGCGGCGGACGGGUGAGUAACACGUAAAGAACCUGCCCAUAGGUCUGGGAUAACCACGAGAAAUCGGGGCUAAUACCGGAUGUGUCAUCGGACCGCAUGGUCCGCUGAUGAACGGCGCUCCGGCGUCGCCCAUGGAUGGCUUUGCGGUGCAUUAGGUAGUUGGCGGGGUUACGGCCCACGAAGGCGACGAUGCCUAGCCGACCUGAGAGGGUGAUCGGCCACACUGGGACUGAGACACGGCCCAGACUCCUACGGGAGGCAGCAGUAGGGAAUCUUCCACAAUGGACGAAAGUCUGAUGGAGCAACGCCGCGUGAACGAUGAAGGCUUUCGGGUCGUAAAGUUCUGUUGUAAGGGAAGAACAAGUGCCGCAGGCAAUGGCGGCACCUUGACGGUACCUUGCGAGAAAGCCACGGCUAACUACGUGCCAGCAGCCGCCGUAA